AGUGAACGCUGGCGGUAGGCCUAACACAUGCAAGUCGAACGGCAGCACAGUAAGAGCUUGCUCUUACGGGUGGCGAGUGGCGGACGGGUGAGGAAUACAUCGGAAUCUACUUUUUCGUGGGGGAUAACGUAGGGAAACUUACGCUAAUACCGCAUACGACCUACGGGUGAAAGCAGGGGAUCUUCGGACCUUGCGCGAUUGAAUGAGCCGAUGUCGGAUUAGCUAGUUGGCGGGGUAAAGGCCCACCAAGGCGACGACCCGUAGCUGGUCUGAGAGGAUGAUCAGCCACACUGGAACUGAGACACGGUCCAGACUCCUACGGGAGGCAGCAGUGGGGAAUAUUGGACAAUGGGCGCAAGCCUGAUCCAGCCAUACCGCGUGGGUGAAGAAGGCCUUCGGGUUGUAAAGCCCUUUUGUUGGGAAAGAAAAGCAGCAGGUUAAUACCCCGCUGUUCUGACGGUACCCAAAGAAUAAGCACCGGCGAACUUCGU
RNAcentral lists this ribosomal RNA (491 nucleotides) under uncultured bacterium. RNAcentral's name for it is "partial 16S ribosomal RNA". It matches the Rfam family "Bacterial small subunit ribosomal RNA", at positions 29 to 506 of the family's 1533-position model. The record is from RNAcentral.